GUAGUCUGCAACUCGACUACAUGAAGCUGGAAUCGCUAGUAAUCGCGAAUCAGAAUGUCGCGGUGAAUACGUUCCCGGGUCUUGUACACACCGCCCGUCACACCAUGGGAGUUGGUAACGCCCGAAGCCAGUGACCUAACCGAAAGGGAGGAGCUGUCGAAGGCGGGACCGAUAACUGGGGUGAAGUCGUAACAAGGUAAC
Molecule: ribosomal RNA, 201 nt
Filed under: uncultured bacterium
Lineage: Bacteria
Description: partial 16S ribosomal RNA
Rfam family: Bacterial small subunit ribosomal RNA
Source: RNAcentral